AGCUCUUAGAAGCUUACCCUAUUCCUUUACCUCAUAUGCAAAAUUGCAGGGAUAAAGGUGUCUUCAAGGAGAGCUAUCAACAGGAGAAGCUUUAGCAAGUUUUAUGUGUGUUGAGUUUAUAGAAUAGACAUAUAAAUUAUAAUGGUUAGACGUUGUGCUUGGUUGUAAAGAAUUGUAUUAUGUAUUAUUUAAGUUAGGAUAUGCAUGUAUAUUUACCUUAACCUAUAAGCACACUCAUUAAUGUUUCACAAAUGUAUGAAAG
Molecule: unclassified non-coding RNA, 262 nt
Filed under: Hevea brasiliensis (rubber tree)
Lineage: Eukaryota; Viridiplantae; Streptophyta; Magnoliopsida; Malpighiales; Euphorbiaceae
Source: RNAcentral